CGUAACACGUAAGCAACCUGCCCGAAAGACCGGGACAACAGCUCGAAAGGGCUGCUAAUACCGGAUGUGUCCGCCCUUUCACAUGGAGGGGCGAGUAAAUCAUUUAUGGCUUUCGGAGGGGCUUGCGGCCUAUCAGCUAGAUGGCGAGGUAACGGCUCACCGUGGCGACGACGGGUAGCUGGUCUGAGAGGAUGGUCAGCCGGACUGGGACUGAGAUACGGCCCAG
RNAcentral lists this ribosomal RNA (226 nucleotides) under uncultured bacterium. RNAcentral's name for it is "partial 16S ribosomal RNA". It matches the Rfam family "Bacterial small subunit ribosomal RNA", at positions 109 to 334 of the family's 1533-position model. The record is from RNAcentral.